GGAUCGAUGAUGAUUUCCAAUAAAACAUUCCUUGGAAAGCUGAAGAAAAUGAGUGAAAACUCAAUACCGCCAAUAUCAUCGUGAUUGCGGUCC
This is a small nucleolar RNA of 93 nucleotides. Its record names the gene SNORD116. It matches the Rfam family "Small nucleolar RNA SNORD116". Rfam says of the family: HBII-85 is a member of the C/D class of snoRNAs, which contain the C (UGAUGA) and D (CUGA) box motifs. The record is from Ensembl.